Molecule: ribosomal RNA, 417 nt
Filed under: uncultured Methanosaeta sp.
Lineage: Archaea; Methanobacteriati; Methanobacteriota; Methanomicrobia; Methanotrichales; Methanotrichaceae
Description: bacterial SSU rRNA
Rfam family: Archaeal small subunit ribosomal RNA
Source: RNAcentral
GUGCACCAGGCGCGAAAACUUUACAAUGCGGGCAACCGCGAUAAGGGGACCUCGAGUGCUGGGUUACAAACCUGGCUGUUGGGCUGCCUAAAAAGCAGUCUAUAGCAAGGGCCGGGCAAGACCGGUGCCAGCCGCCGCGGUAACACCGGCGGCUCGAGUGGUAACCGCUAUUAUUGGGUCUAAAGGGUCUGUAGCCGGCCGACUAAGUCUCUUGGGAAAUCUGGCAUCUCAAGUGUCAGGCUGCCAGGGGAUACUGGUCGGCUUGGGACCGGGAGAGGUGAGAGGUACCUCGGGGGUAGGGGUGAAAUCUUGUAAUCCUCGAGGGACCACCAGUGGCGAAGGCGUCUCACCAGAACGGAUCCGACGGCAAGGGACGAAAGCUAGGGGCACGAACCGGAUUAGAUACCCAGGUAGUCC